RNAcentral lists this small RNA (81 nucleotides) under Escherichia coli. Its description in RNAcentral is "Retron msr RNA". It matches the Rfam family "Retron msr RNA". Rfam says of the family: Retron elements are found in a wide range of mainly Gram-negative bacteria. The retron encodes a reverse transcriptase that is responsible for the production of a small satellite DNA called msDNA (multi-copy single-stranded DNA). msDNA has both DNA (encoded by the retron msd gene) and RNA (encoded by the msr gene) components. The 5' end of msDNA is linked to an internal guanosine residue of the RNA strand by a 2'-5' linkage. The record is from Rfam by way of RNAcentral. Lineage: Bacteria; Pseudomonadati; Pseudomonadota; Gammaproteobacteria; Enterobacterales; Enterobacteriaceae.
GCUCUUUAGCGUUUUAUGGAUUUACCACCUGAUUGGUCAAAUCUAGUUGGGCGUUGCGCAAACUCUAAUUUAUUGAUUACA